CGCUGGCGGUAGGCCUAACACAUGCAAGUCGAACGGCAGCACAGGAGAGCUUGCUCUCUGGGUGGCGAGUGGCGGACGGGUGAGGAAUACAUCGGAAUCUACUUUUUCGUGGGGGAUAACGUAGGGAAACUUACGCUAAUACCGCAUACGACCUACGGGUGAAAGCAGGGGAUCUUCGGACCUUGCGCGAUUGAAUGAGCCGAUGUCGGAUUAGCUAGUUGGCGGGGUAAAGGCCCACCAAGGCGACGAUCCGUAGCUGGUCUGAGAGGAUGAUCAGCCACACUGGAACUGAGACACGGUCCAGACUCCUACGGGAGGCAGCAGUGGGGAAUAUUGGACAAUGGGCGCAAGCCUGAUCCAGCCAUACCGCGUGGGUGAAGAAGGCCUUCGGGUUGUAAAGCCCUUUUGUUGGGAAAGAAAUCCAGCUGGUUAAUACCCGGUUGGGAUGACGGUACCCAAAGAAUAAGCACCGGCUAACUUCGUGCCAGCAGCCGCGGUAAUACGAAGGGUGCAAGCGUUACUCGGAAUUACUGGGCGUAAAGCGUGCGUAGGUGGUCGUUUAAGUCCGUUGUGAAAGCCC
RNAcentral lists this ribosomal RNA (580 nucleotides) under soil bacterium S64M2. Its description in RNAcentral is "bacterial SSU rRNA". It matches the Rfam family "Bacterial small subunit ribosomal RNA", at positions 34 to 603 of the family's 1533-position model. The record is from RNAcentral.